UGAGGAAUAUUGGUCAAUGGACGGAAGUCUGAACCAGCCAAGUAGCGUGCAGGAAGACGGCCCUAUGGGUUGUAAACUGCUUUUGUAUGGGGAUAAAGUCAAUCNACGUGUCCCUGUUUGCAGGUACCAUAUGAAUAAGGACCGGCUAAUUCCGUGCCAGCAGCCGCGGUAAUACGGAAGGUUCGGGCGUUAUCCGGAUUUAUUGGGUUUAAAGGGAGCGUAGGCCGGAGAUUAAGUGUGUUGUGAAAUGUAGACGCUCAACGUCUGACUUGCAGCGCAUACUGGUUUCCUUGAGUACGCACAACGUUGGCGGAAUUCGUCGUGUAGCGGUGAAAUGCUUAGAUAUGACGAAGAACUCCGAUUGCGAAGGCAGCUGACGGGAGCGCAACUGACGCUGAAGCUCGAAGGUGCGGGUAUCAAACAGGAUUAGAUACCCUGGUAGUCCGCACAGUAAACGAUGGAUGCCCGCUGUUGGUACCUGGUAUCAGCGGCUAAGCGAAAGCAUUAAGCAUCCCACCUGGGGAGUACGCCGGCAACGGU
RNAcentral lists this ribosomal RNA (540 nucleotides) under uncultured bacterium. Its description in RNAcentral is "bacterial SSU rRNA". It matches the Rfam family "Bacterial small subunit ribosomal RNA", at positions 355 to 895 of the family's 1533-position model. The record is from RNAcentral.